RNAcentral lists this ribosomal RNA (110 nucleotides) under Scophthalmus maximus (turbot). Lineage: Eukaryota; Metazoa; Chordata; Actinopteri; Pleuronectiformes; Scophthalmidae. The record is from RNAcentral.
GCUUACGGCCACACCGCCUGGUUCACGCCCUGAUCUCGGAAGCUAAGAUAGGUUGGGCCUGGUUAGUACUUGGAUGGGAGACCGCCUGGGAAUACCAGGUGCUGCAAGCU